This 598-nucleotide ribosomal RNA is filed under the name uncultured Arthrobacter sp. RNAcentral's name for it is "bacterial SSU rRNA". It matches the Rfam family "Bacterial small subunit ribosomal RNA", at positions 239 to 847 of the family's 1533-position model. The record is from RNAcentral. Lineage: Bacteria; Bacillati; Actinomycetota; Actinomycetes; Micrococcales; Micrococcaceae.
UUUCAGCUUGUUGGUGAGGUAAUGGCUCACCAAGACGAUGACGGGUAGCCGGCCUGAGAGGGCGACCGGCCACACUGGGACUGAGACACGGCCCAGACUCCUACGGGAGGCAGCAGUGGGGAAUAUUGCACAAUGGGCGAAAGCCUGAUGCAGCGACGCCGCGUGAGGGAUGACGGCCUUCGGGUUGUAAACCUCUUUCAGUAGGGAAGAAGCGAGAGUGACGGUACCUGCAGAAGAAGCGCCGGCUAACUACGUGCCAGCAGCCGCGGUAAUACGUAGGGCGCAAGCGUUAUCCGGAUUUAUUGGGCGUAAAGAGCUCGUAGGCGGUUUGUCGCGUCUGCCGUGAAAGUCCGAGGCUCAACCUCGGAUCUGCGGUGGGUACGGGCAGACUAGAGUGAUGUAGGGGAGACUGGAAUUCCUGGUGUAGCGGUGAAAUGCGCAGAUAUCAGGAGGAACACCGAUGGCGAAGGCAGGUCUCUGGGCAUCUACUGACGCUGAGGAGCGAAAGCAUGGGGAGCGAACAGGAUUAGAUACCCUGGUAGUCCAUGCCGUAAACGUUGGGCACUAGGUGUGGGGAACAUUCCACGUUCUCCGCGCC